This 253-nucleotide ribosomal RNA is filed under the name uncultured bacterium. Its description in RNAcentral is "partial 16S ribosomal RNA". It matches the Rfam family "Bacterial small subunit ribosomal RNA", at positions 524 to 776 of the family's 1533-position model. The record is from RNAcentral.
UGCGAAGGGGGCUAGCGUUGCUCGGAAUCACUGGGCGUAAAGCGCACGUAGGCGGCUUUCUAAGUCAGGGGUGAAAUCCUGGAGCUCAACUCUGGAACUGCCCUUGAAACUGGUGACCUUGAGUACGGGAGAGGUGAGUGGAAUUCCCAGUGUAGAGGUGAAAUUCGUAGAUAUUGGGAAGAACACCGGUGGCGAAGGCGGCUCACUGGCCCGUAACUGACGCUCAGGCGCGAUAGCGUGGGGAUCAAACAGG